GGAGAACGGGAGAGGUCGGGAAUGCGGGAAUUUGGAUCCUGGGGAAAGGGGAAUGUGGGAAUGGGAAUGCAGAGGGGGAAUGGGAAUAUGGGAAUGGAGGGAAUGGGGGAGGAUCCCUGCUCGGGUUUCCCGGGAGAAGGAAUCCCCAGGGAUGUUCCCAUGUGGCGAUCCCAGGAUUGGGCUCGGAAGUUCCGUGGAAAUCGGGAUUCCAGAGGCGGCAGGAGCUGCCGGAAUCCGGCCGAUCCCAGCGGGAUCCCAACGGGAACGGAUUGUGCCGGGAGCUCCCAGGGGAUGGCUGGGACUGAGGGAUCGCUGGGAUUCCGGGAUCACCGGGAUUCAGGAACACUGGGAUUCCAGGCUCACUGGGUUUCAGGGAUGGCUGGGAUGUUGGGAUUGCUGGGAUUGAGGGAUCACUGGGAUUUAAGGAUUGUUGGGAUUCAGGGAUUGCUGGAAUUCAGGGAUCACUGGGGUUCAGGAUCGCUGGGAUUCCAGGAUCUCUGGAAUUCCGGGCUGGCUCCGGAGCCAUGGCGGCAGCGGAUGCGGACGCGGAGUGGCUGCGCUGGGCCAGCGAACGCUUUGGGAACGGCGCCGGGAAGGAGCCGGAGAUCGGCCUGGAGGAAUUCACACGGACCCUGGGGAUCAAGGAGGGAGCGGCUCCAUUGAUGGGCAGGAGCUGCUCCAGGUGCUCCGGGGGUGUCUCCGGGAGAGCUCCCUGGCCCUGCCCGAGGAGCGGCUCCGGGCCCUGAGCCAGGCCCUGCUCCGCGCCUGCGACCGCGACCGCAGCGGCUCCAUCUCCUUCCCGGAGCUCCGGGAACAGCUGGAGGCGUUCCCGGAACUCCUGGAGAGCCUGAGCAUCAGGUGGGAACGGGAUCCACACCUGGGAGAUCUGGGAAGGGAUUCCAUGGGGACACAGCUGUGGGGUCAGAGCAGCCGGAGAGGUUUGGGAUUGGAUCAGGGAUGGUUUGGGAUGGAGCAGGGUUUGGAUCAGGGAUUGGAUCAGGGUUUGGAUUUUGGGAUGGUUUGGGAUGGAGCAGGGAAUGUUCUGGGAUGGACAGGGAUGGAUGUGGGAAUGUCCGGCUGUAGGGCCGGGUACCACCCAGCAAACCCCGAAUUCCCACCCAACCCCGAAUUCCCAGCAAUCCCAAACUCCCAGCAAUCCCCAAUUCCCGUUUCCCAGUGCCGCCUCCUGGCUGAAGCCCCCCAGUCCCGCCGAGCGCCGCCUGUGCUGCUUUUCCUGGGAAUCCUGCCGGGAGCAGCGGGCCGGGCUGCGCCGCUUUUCCCGGGAAUGCGGCGGCCCGGGCGGCUUUUCCCGGGAAUGCUGGCGGGCCGGGAUGCGCCGCUUUUCC
RNAcentral lists this long non-coding RNA (1346 nucleotides) under Cyanistes caeruleus (blue tit). RNAcentral describes it as "lncRNA (ENSCCEG00000007107.1)". Lineage: Eukaryota; Metazoa; Chordata; Aves; Passeriformes; Paridae. The record is from RNAcentral.